GGGCUGGAUUCGGCAGCACAGAUACAAAAAUUGGAAUGAUUCAGAGAAGAUUAGCAUGGCUUCUGUACAAGGAUGAUGUGCAGAUUUGUGAAAUGUUCCAUAUUUUU
Molecule: small nuclear RNA, 107 nt
Organism: Oryctolagus cuniculus (rabbit)
Lineage: Eukaryota; Metazoa; Chordata; Mammalia; Lagomorpha; Leporidae
Source: Ensembl